CAGAGUCAAUGUGGAGGUUAUAUACAGGGAGUACCGGUACAGAGUCAAUGUGGAGGCUAUAUACAGGGGGUACCGGUACAGAGUCAAUGUGGAGGUUAUAUACAGGGAGUACCGGUACAGAGUCAAUGUGGAGGCUAUAUACAGGGGGUACCGGUACAGAGUCAAUGUGGAGGCUAUAUACAGGGAGUACCGGUACAGAGUCAAUGUGGAGGCUAUAUACAGGGGGUACCGGUACAGAGUCAAUGUGGAGGCUAUAUACAGGGGGUACCGGUACAGAGUCAAUGUGGAGGCUAUAU
Oncorhynchus keta (chum salmon) is the source of this 296-nucleotide long non-coding RNA. RefSeq lists it as uncharacterized. The record is from RefSeq and is a predicted model, not a curated record. The transcript is spliced from 3 exons. Lineage: Eukaryota; Metazoa; Chordata; Actinopteri; Salmoniformes; Salmonidae.